This 110-nucleotide ribosomal RNA is filed under the name Pseudomonas oryzihabitans. RNAcentral describes it as "partial 16S ribosomal RNA". It matches the Rfam family "Bacterial small subunit ribosomal RNA", at positions 1 to 106 of the family's 1533-position model. Lineage: Bacteria; Pseudomonadati; Pseudomonadota; Gammaproteobacteria; Pseudomonadales; Pseudomonadaceae. The record is from RNAcentral.
ACUUAACUGAAGAGUUUGAUCAUGGCUCAGAUUGAACGCUGGCGGCAGGCCUAACACAUGCAAGUCGAGCGGAUGAGAGGAGCUUGCUCCUCGAUUCAGCGGCGGACGGG